GAGUGGCAACGGGUGAGUAUAAUGUGGGAAUCUGCCUUUUGGUUUGGAAUAACACGGGGAAACUUGUGCUAAUACCAAAUAAGCCCUUACGGGGAAAGUUUCAACGCCGAAAGAUGAGCCUGCACUUGAUUAGCUAGUUGGUAAGGUAAAGGCUUACCAAGGCAACGAUCAAUAGCUGUUCUUAGAGGAAGACCACCCACAUUGGGACUGAGACACGGCCCAGACUCCUACGGGAGGCAGCAGGGGGGAAUCUUGCACAAUGGGGAAAACCCUGAUGCAGCGAUGCCGCGGGAGUGAAAAAGGCCUUUGGGUUGAAAAACUCUUUCGCCGGGGAAAGAAAAUGACUGUCCCCGAAAAAAAAGGUCCGGUUAACUUCGGGCCACCCCCCGCGGAAAUACAAAGGGACCUAGCCGUGUUUCGGAAUUCCGGGGCUUAAAAGACCCCGAAGGGGGUUAAAAA
This 459-nucleotide ribosomal RNA is filed under the name uncultured Alphaproteobacteria bacterium. RNAcentral describes it as "partial 16S ribosomal RNA". It matches the Rfam family "Bacterial small subunit ribosomal RNA", at positions 93 to 585 of the family's 1533-position model. Lineage: Bacteria; Pseudomonadati; Pseudomonadota; Alphaproteobacteria. The record is from RNAcentral.